RNAcentral lists this long non-coding RNA (9477 nucleotides) under Homo sapiens (human). Its description in RNAcentral is "non-protein coding LINC01776:18". The record is from RNAcentral. Lineage: Eukaryota; Metazoa; Chordata; Mammalia; Primates; Hominidae.
AAAUGCAAAUGGAGUGGGAGUGGUGGUGGCCGUGAUGGAGCGUACUGUGUGGGUGUAGGGGGAUUUGGGGAGAGGGUGUCGUGGGCAGUAAGUUUAAACAAAUUCAAGGCCAUUACUACCACUGCAGACCAAAAUAACUUAGGUCUGAGAGACCCCCUUAGAAAGAUACAAUGCCUUCCUCAUCUAAAGGGAGCUAAUACCAGAGUGAUCUCGGCGCUCGCGCAGUUUUGAGAGAGGGUCCCGAAAACCGCCGGAGGCCAGGUGUCGCGGACGGGCCCCGGGCUAAACUCUCGUCUGGCGAAGUGAAGAGCGCAAAGUCUCCAGGCCCAGCGCGCCUUCGCGGGGCAGGCCGGACACCCUAGCCCCGGGCCGGGCUCGCUCUUCUCUGAAGCCCUGGAGCGGGCAAGGGGCACCAUUCUGGCCACAGGAACUCUAGUUUCAGCAGCCGCAGCCCGCCAGCGCUGGCUCGGACCGGGGCCUCCUCUGGGAGAGUAGGAGAGCGAAAAAAUCAACCACCACCUUGGAUUUCAGAUCGAGGAAAGGAAGCCAAAGCAAAGGUGUGGUUACACAGGACAUCCAUAGACAAAUCGUUGCCUCUCUAAGUGGGCCUGAGCUUUGCGGCUCCAGAAGCGCGAGGCGCGGUUGGUGCGGACGCGGGGGCGUGGGAGUCAUCGCUCUCCCCGCAGCCCUGGCCGAGCUCUCUGCUGUCCUCCCGAGUUUGGGCCAGAGACCACGGCUCACUCCCUAACGCCCUCGCAAGGACGGCUGCCCGUCGGGCCAAGGGCGCCCCGGGCUGGAGGCCGGAGCAAGACGGCCCCGCGGGACUCGGGAGCCUUGGUAAGGCGGAGGCUCAGACCCCGUUCACGAAAACGCCUGGCUCCUCCAGGAUUUGUCAGGUCUUAAGCAGCUCCGAGAAGGCUCCGCUGGCUCUUGGGGAACCCCGCUGUGCGGCUCACCCCCGUUUGUCUCUCUCAAGCUCUCGCCCUCCUCCCCUGGUCCUCCCUUCUCCAGAUCCCCUGCCCUGCCCGAGGUCCGGGCCGCGCGGGCUGAGCCCAAUACGCCCGGAGAAGAGCGCCGGAGCCCCCUGCUGGCCGGACGCGGCAGGCGCGGCGGCCCGCUCGGUCCCCUCCGCCCCGCGGGCUCUGCCCAGCCCGGACCCGCCUCCACCCUCCAGUGCCCUGGCGCUGGGGGCGUGCUAAAAGCAACAGAAAACAAAACAAAAACAAACAAAGCGCCAAACCCCACUCUCACCUCUUCUACUGGUCAAAGGUGGUUUCCCUGCACAAGCCCUCUUCUUUUGUGUGGCACCAUGUGAGAUGUGCCUUUCACCUUCCACCAUGAUUGUCAGACCUCCCCAGCCACAUGGAACCCACUUGUCCCAACUACCUGCUUCUGGCUUUGUUUUGCCUAAAGCUGUGAAAAAUAUUAUUCAAACACAAGAUGGCAAACUGAAGAAUGAAAAAUCAACAUGUAUCAAAUGAUGAAGGGGAAAGAUGGAAGAAGCCUGGGUUCUUGAUGGCAUCAUUGAACCCUCCAUGCAAGGCCAGCAACCAAGCUGUCAUUAACUAAAGCUAGAUGCAUUAUUAUGUUCAAGGAAUGAACCCUUAUCUGAUUAAAUUACUGCCAUCUAGGUUUUCUGUUACCUGCAGAUGAGCCAUCCUGAUGCUCAAUAUCAUAGAAUUAUUCUGAAAGUUAAAUGAAAUAAUGCAUGCAUAAUUGCUUAAAUAACUACAGAUAUACUGUUUAAAGAGGUAACACAGGGCAAUGGAAAAGGCAUUGGACUUGAACUCUGACUAAUUUAGCCUGGAAUCCUAGAAAGUCACCUUAUUAGACCUUCUUCAUAGGAAAAUGUAAACAAUCUCUGUGUGUCAGUUGUGUCAUCUCUAAAAUGGAAAUAAUUAGCAUCUUGGAGGAUUGUUGUAAAGGGUAAGGGAGAUAAGAUAUGGGAAAGCUCAUGGCAUAGGGCUUGAUACAUGUUAUUCAAUAAACAUAAGUUAGGGAGAAAAAUUAGCAAGUAGCAGUGUGGUCUGCCCCAAGUGAACACACUUCCUUUAUCUGAGUCAGAUUACACUGCCCCUUGAACCUUUACAACACUAAACAAAAUUUAGAGCACUAGGAGAUACUUCAGAGUGUCCUAUUAAUAAAAGUAGUGGAAGGAUAGUUUUUUUUUUUCUAAUUCUGUGAAGAACAUUAAUGGUAGUUUAAUGGGACUGGCAUUGAAUCUAUAGAUUACUUUGAAAAGUAUGGCCAUUUUCACAAUAUUGAUUCUUCCUAUCCAUGAGCAUGGAAUGUUUUUCCUUUUGUUUGUGUCCUCUCUGAUUUCUUUGAGGAUCAGUUUGUAGUUCUCUUUGAAGAGGUUCCUCACUUUCCUUCUCAGCUGUAUUCCUAGGUAUCUUUUUUUUUUGUAGCAAUUGUGAAUGGGAGUUCAUUCAUGAUUCAUCUCUCUGCUUGCCUAUUGAUGGUGUAUAGGAAUGCUAGAGAUUUUGCACAUUGAUUUUGUAUCCUGAGGCUUUGCUGAAGUUGCUUCUCAGCUUAAGAAGCUUUUGGGCUGAGAAAAUGGGGUUUUUUUAGGUAUAGGAUCACGCCAUCUGUAAACAAAGAUAAUUUGACUUCCUCUCUUUCUAUUUACCCUUUAUUUCUUUAUCUUGUCUGAUUGCCCUGGCCAGAACUUCCAAUACUAUAUUGAAUAAGAGUGGUAAAAGAGGGCAUUCUUGUCUUCUACCACUUUAAAAGCCAUAUGGAACCAAAAAUGAGCCCAAAUAGCCAAGACAAUCCUAAACAAAAAGAACAAACCUGGAGGCACCAUACUACCCAACUUCGAACUAUGCUACAAGGUUAUAGUAACCAAAACAGCAUGAUACUGGUACAAAAACAGGCACAUAGACCAAAGGAAUGAAAAGAGAACUCAGAAAUAAGACUGCACACCUACAACCAUCUGAUCUUCAACAAACCUGACAAAAACAAGCAAUGGGAAAAGAACUCUUUAUUUAAUAAAUGAUACUGGGAGAACUGGUUAGCCAUACACAGAAAAUUGAAAUUGGACCCCUUCCUUACACCUUAUACAGAAAUUAACUCAAGAUGAAUUGAAGACUUAAAUGUUGAUAUGGUUUGGCUCUGGAUCCCCACCCAAAUCUCACCUUGAAUUGUAAUCUCCAUAAUCCCCACAUGUCAAGGGCAGGACAGGGUGGAGGUAAUUGGAUCAGGGUGGUGGUUUCCCCCAUGCUGUUCUCAUGAUAAUGAGUGAGUUCUCAUGAGAUCUGAUGGUUUUAUAAGGGGCUCUUUUCCCUUUGCUUAACACUUCUCCUUCCUUCCACCUUGUGAGGAAACUGCUUUGCUUCCCCUUUACCUUCUGCCAUGAUUGUAAGUUUCCUGAGGCUUUCCCAGCCAUGCUGAACUGUGAGUUAAUUAAACCUCUUUCAUUUCUAUUAAUAAAUACCCAGUCUCAGCAAUUCUAUAGUAAUAUGGAAACAGACUAAUACAAAUUUAAAACCCAAAACUAUAAAAACCCUAGAAGAAAAUCUAGGCAAUACCUUUCAGGCAAAGAUUUUGUUACGAAAAUGCAAAAAGCAAUUGCAACAAAAGCAAAAAUUGACAAAUGGGAUCUAAUUAAAUAAACGAAUUUUGCAGAGCAAAAGAAACUAUCAUCAGAGUGAACAAAGUACAGAAUUGGAGAAAAUUUUUACAAUCUAUCCAUCUGACAAAGGUAUAAUAUCCAGAGUCUACAAGGAACUUAAUCAAACUACAGGAAAAACACAAACAACCCCAUUAAAAAGUGGGCAAAGGAUAUGAACAGACACUUCUCAAAAGAAGACAUACAUGGAGGAGCAAACACGAAAAAAAGCUCAACAUCACUGAUCAUUAGAAAAAUGCAAAUCAGAACCACAAUGAGAUACUAUCUCACGCCAGUGAGAAUGGCGAUUAUUAAAAAGUCCAAAAAUAAUAGAUGCUGGCAAUGUUGUGGAGAAAAAGAAAUGCUUUUACACUGUUAGUGGGAGUGUAAAUUAGUUCAGCCAUUGUGGAAGACAGUGUGGCAAUUCCUCAAAGACUUAGAGGCAGAAAUACCAUUUGACCCAGCAAUCCCAUUACUGGGUAUACACCCAAAGGAAUAUAAAUCAUCCUAUUAUAAAGAUGCAUACACAGGCAUGCUCAUUGCAGCACUCUUUACAGCAGCAAAGACAGGGAAUCAACCUAAAAGCCCAUCAAUGAUAGACUGGAAAAAGAAAAUGUGGUACACAUACACCACAGAAUACUAUGCAGCCAUAAAAAGGAACAAGAUUUUGUUCUAUGCAGGGACAUGGAUGUAACUGGAAGCUGUUAUCCUCAGCAAACUAAUGCAAGAAAAGAAAACCAAACACUCCAUGUUCUCACUUAUAAGUGGGAGCUGAAUGAUGAGAACACAUGGAUAAAUCAGGGGGAACGACACACACUGGGGGCCAUUGGUGGUGGGAUUAGGGGGAGGGAGGGCAUCAGGAAAAAUAGGUCAUGGAUGCUGGGGUUGAUACCUACGUGAUAGGAUGAUCUGUGCAGCAAACCACCAUGGCUCACGUUUUACCUGUGUAACAAACCUGCACAUCCUGUACAUGUACCCCUGAACUUUGGAUAAAAAGUUUAAGAAAAAAAAGUAGUAGAAAGAAUUUUAUUAGUUUAUUAAGUGUUAUAAAGAUCUAGGCACCAUUUAAAGAACUUCACAUAUACUAAUUUAAUCCUCAUAAAAGUUUAUGUGGUAGGUGUUACCAUUCACUUCAUUAUACAGAUGAGGAAAAUGCAGUGCAGAGAGAUUAAGAUAUUAAUCCCAGAUUAGAUAUCUAAUAAAUUGAGCAGCCAGAAUUCAAACUCAGGAAGUCUAGCUCCAGAGCUGGUACUCUUAAUCUCCGUAUUAUGUUAUCUUCUAACAAAAUUACUAACACAUUGACCGAACCCUCUAUCUGGUCAUGAAGAAGUUUGAAUCCAACCUAUCCCUGCUUACAGGCUUGGAUUGUUUGCAAAAGAGAAGGUAGAGCUGCUUCUCAUAGUUAGCUUUUGGAUAAAACAAUAUAUUGGGCCUGAUAGAGUUUGAAUAUGUGUCCCCUCAAAUCUCAUGAUGAAAUGUAAUCCCCAGUGUUGGGGGUAGGGCCUGGUGGGAGGUGUUUGGAUCAUGGGGGCAGAUCAUAAAUGGCUAUCAUCAUCCCCUUGGUGAUAAGUGAGUUAAUGUGAGAUCUGGUUGUUUACAAGUGUGUGGCACCUCCCACUCUCUUUCCCUCCCUCUUGCCCCUGUUCUUGCCAUGUGAGAUGACUGGCUUCCCUCUUCAUGUUCUGCCAUAAUUGAAAACUCCCUGAGGCUUCACCAGAAGCCAAGCAGAUGCUGGCAUCAUGCUUUCUGUACAGCCUGCAGAACCAUAAGCCAAUUAAGCCUCUUUUUUUAAAAACAAAUAAUCCAACUUCAGGUAUUCUUUUAUAGCAGUACAAGAAUGGUCCAACACAGGGCCAUUCCAUCUAUUUUAGUUUCUGGGGAGUUGAGAUGACAGAAGGCUCUAAAUCUCCAUUGGGCAUCACCACAUUAGGCCUGGCUGAGCAAAAUUUCAAGCCCAGGCUUUCUCAGUAGGCUUUUAAAUAAAGGGAUAAGCUGCUCUCUAAAUAAAGGAGCAUAGAAGGAACCAAAAGAAGACCUGAAACUUGCCUAUGCUGUUCCUUUUUCCUCAGCAUAAACUUGCAGGUAUCUUAAUAGAGGAAAUUUGUUAGCAUUUUGGCGUACUAUCCUAGGAAAAUAAUAACAUUUAUUAAUGUUCUUUAUUCCUAUAAAUAUGAAAUUUUCUUUAUGGAGAUAUGGGUGAUAUGAGACUUAUAUUUCCAUAAGGAUGCCCAGAAAAUACUCCAGAGUAAGCAGACUUCUUAGUUAGGCAUAAAUCUAUGUAAGGUUAUAAGAGUGAGAGUGAUUAUGGGCUUACUUAAAAUGGAUAUGGUGGUUUCACUCUCUUAGCUUGUCUUCCUGUAUUGUAGAAGCUAAAAGCUUAAAUUAGAUAAUUCCCAGACUUUAUUGCAGUUAAAAUUCUAGACAUGAAUUAGCUUCUGCCAAUUAAAUCCAUUCACAUACCAUUAAGAACAUGGAAAUGUGGAGGGGGCGCUCUUCAUUCCACCUGAGUGUUUCAACUGGCUGGUGUGACGGUAUUUGCCAGGGAAGCUGGAUGGAAGUGAGACAGUUGGGUCCCAUGCUGCAAAUUCUUGGAUUUUGCUAGGGUAAGGGGUGGCUUCAAAGGUUUCCCUGGAUCAACCUAGAGGAUAAUUAAAUCAAAGUAAACUUUACAGGCAGCAAGAUAAGGUAGAGAGCGAGUCAGAUUUAUUCCUUAGUUUUUGUAAGAAAUUAUAAAGGCUCAGAUGGUUCUGUAGGAAGGUGUAGAAGGGGUAUAGUUGAGGGCUUGUGGUUUUCCCUUGAAGUGUACCAAGGCACCAGGUAAUUCAGCUACAGAAGACCUGGGAUGACAAGUUUCAGGAAGAAGAUGGAUAGGGGUUAUGACAAAUGUUACAAAAUGUCUACAGAGCCUUCCAGAACCAAGGUGCCUAAUCAAGAGGGAAUACAACUGAAUCAUAGCUGCCUGAGAGAAAAAUAUGGAUCACAGAUAUAUAACCUAAGCAUAUUAUAGUGUCAGAAGUCAACAGAAGUCCUGAGGUAAUGCUAGUCAAUUUCAACAGGCAUCUGGUCCAUGGGGAAAUCUCAACUGGCUUGUCUUGAGUUGAGAUGAGUGAGGCUACGAAAUUUGAUGCAAGUUCCUGAGCUCCCAAGCCCCAUUUUGCUCUCACCAAUGCUGUACACCUCACCCAUAUCCCAAAAGAGCAGAGGAGGGCUCUGGAAGACUAGAAGACUGUCCAUUUUAACCUAAAAAUUCUAAGUAUCAUCUAAAGGGAACACUUAAAUUAUUGCAUCAGGCAAAGGUUACCACAUAAGGCUAAAAUUUAGAUUUUCCUUUCCACCUGUUUCCCAGUAGGUGGAUUAUGCUAAUGAUCAGAUCAGAUGAAGAGCAUAAAGCUUCCACAUUUUUUUCAGUGUGAGGGAAAAAAAUAUGAGUAUCUUUCAGACUCUUCUGCAUAGACUAUAUUUAGUUCAUUCUAUCUGCAGCCUUAAUUACCUGCCCCCAAUUCAAGAAAUAUGCAGUCCACAAAAAUGGAAGUUUUUCAUAGAUUAAAUAUCUUGCUUCCUUAUGAGGGAAGAGUUCUGAGCAGGGAAACAGAAAUUUUUCAGCUUUCCCUGUUAAGAUAUAAUGAAAUCAUUUUAUUAUUUGUUUUAACUCUAGAAUACUUAGAACCUCAGAUUAAGCCAUAUAUUCAAAUUUAUGUACAAUGACAAUAAGGUUAAAUCUACAUUGAUUUUUGAAUAAAUUGUGACAUGACUCAUCUGGGUCAACAUGGGUAAUCAGCAACUCAAUGUAUAUUCUUUGGAUGUCCCUCCCCCACCAUCUCCUGCUCCCACCACCUCCAUCAUAAUGGCUGCAGGUAAAGGAUUCUUGUAAAAGGCUAUCUGUGGUUCACAGACUUGCCUGGGGUGGGUAAGCACUAAAUGCACCCUUCGUCAGCUAACAUAAGGCUCAUUCACUCAGCUUAGCUUCUUUCCCAGCCUCCCAGGUUGGUGCAGUGUAAUCCCCCUUUCCUCCUUAUUUAUUUUUUAAGAUUUCCUAUAAUCCACAUACAUAUGUUCUUUUCUUAAGGUAACGAUUGUUUUUCAGAUCAAAAAAGAAAAAGUUUUCAAUCUAUUGAUUACAGUAAAACUCACUAAUCUUUUUGUUGCAUAAAUGUGUUUAUAUGUACAUCUAUGUCCUAGUUUUAGCAUUUCUGCCCUUAUUCAUUUUAAUAUCCUUUAAAAAGUGACUCCUGUUUUUUCUUUUGACCUGCAAAUAGCUUUGAUUACUUUUUCUUUGCAUAUGUUAGUGGACUCCAUAAGGAGAUCAUCAUGCAUAGGCACCUGUACCAUGUUUAGGGACAUUCAGCUAUUAGUUAAUUAGCCUACGUCUCAUGAGUAUUUAUAGUACUUGUAAUAUGGUAAAAUCAUGUGUAUUAGAGCUGGUCAGCAUGAGUCAUCCUUUACCCUAAGUUUGAAAUCUACUUCCCUGGUGUGGCAGGCCAGGCCUCACUAAUACAGGCCUCCCUAACAACCGUUUCAGUACUGAGUAGUUAAGUUAAAUAUUAAAAGUUAAAAAUGCCAGGGCCCUUAUACAAAGGCUGGAAUGUAACAAAAGCCCACCAAGAAUCUUGCCUAUGCUUUUCCUGGGCCUUAAAGCAUGACAAAAUAAUGAAGGAAUUCUUAACAGGACUCAUUUAGGAUUAAACAAGUUUUACUGGGGAUCUGAAGAAACUCCUCAGGCCUCCACAUACAAGUUGAUUAGGGGUCUGAAAGAAUACCCAAACCUCUGUGAUUUAACAGGAAACAAGAUAAGGGUAAUCACCCUACCACCUGAACCCCUUUAGACUAAGUAAAUUUACUGAGGCUCUAGAGGAAGGUCUUCAGGACUGAGACCUUAUAGAUUAAAAGAAGUUAAUCACUUAUGUCUUUAGAUGAAUGCAGACUUACACGUAGACUUAUAGCUUAGGAGGUACAUAAGCUCUGGAAAACUUUGUGUUUUGAGUUGGUCUGGUGAUAAUUUCCAGGUCUUCUCCCUGUAACUGGCUUACAGGAAUAAAACUUUCUUCCUCCCCAGUUCGUCCGCAUCUUGUUAUUGGGACACGAGAAACAGCCCGACCUUCAGUUUGGUUCAGGAACACUGGGACUCUGUUUUGAAAGAGCACUGUGAAAAAAUCUCCUCUUUUGUGGAACAGUUAUUUAAAAACAACCAACUAAAUGGAGAUUACUUAAGAGAAAUGUGUGUCGAGGACAUAAUUCCCUACAGCCCUAUUAAUAGUGGGAUUUUGUUGACAUGCUUAGAAAUGUCAGAGAAAUGUUGGCACUUGUAUCAUAUCAUCAUAUCCUCCCUGGUUAUGUUGGUCCUACCACUGCCAACAUGCUACAAGUCAUGGGCACUCUGCAUUUGCUCAAUGGAUGGAUUGAAUUCUUCCCUCAUUUAGUCAGUCAGUCUGCAAACAAUGAUGACCUCCUGGGUUUUAUCCAGAUCAAAUGCUAAGCACUCUAGGACCGAAUGCACAACAAUGAAUCCUGUAGCUUUAGUUCUCAAAAAACUUUGCAGUCUAAUGGUAUAAACAAACACACUAGGGGUCUCCAAAGCCAGCUGUGCAUACGUAUAGGUUGUACUAAACUAUCCCAUAGAAAAAAGAUUUAUGCUUAUAUUUUUACUAAAAAUUAAGAUACAUAUUAAUUUACUGAUAGUCAAUGGUCACAUGUCACUAAGGUACAAGUUUUCCUUAAGAAAGAGCGGAACUUCUGCAAUAUGGAAAGACUAGAGGCUUGCAUUCUCACCUGUUUGUUCACGUUCAAUUUAUUUUUAUGCCUGUAAGCAGAGAACAAAUUAUAAAGUGACUUGCAUCAUACAAAUUUACACUGAUGAUUUUAAGAAUCCC